AGUGAACGCUGGCGGUAGGCCUAACACAUGCAAGUCGAACGGCAGCACAGUAAGAGCUUGCUCUUACGGGUGGCGAGUGGCGGACGGGUGAGGAAUACAUCGGAAUCUACUUUUUCGUGGGGGAUAACGUAGGGAAACUUACGCUAAUACCGCAUACGACCUACGGGUGAAAGCAGGGGAUCUUCGGACCUUGCGCGAUUGAAUGAGCCGAUGUCGGAUUAGCUAGUUGGCGGGGUAAAGGCCCACCAAGGCGACGAUCCGUAGCUGGGCUGAGAGGAUGAUCAGCCACACUGGAACUGAGACACGGUCCAGACUCCAACGGGAGGCAGAGGUGGGGAAUAUUGGACAAUGGGCGCAAGCCUGAUCCAGCCAUACGGGGUGGGUGAAGAAGGCCUUCGGGUUGUAAAGCCCUUUUGUUGGGAAAGAAAAGCAGCAGGUUAAUACCCCGCUGUUCUGACGGUACCCAAAGAAUAAGCACCGGCUAAUUUCGG
This 491-nucleotide ribosomal RNA is filed under the name uncultured bacterium. RNAcentral describes it as "partial 16S ribosomal RNA". It matches the Rfam family "Bacterial small subunit ribosomal RNA", at positions 29 to 506 of the family's 1533-position model. The record is from RNAcentral.